Molecule: ribosomal RNA, 763 nt
Filed under: uncultured bacterium
Lineage: Bacteria
Description: bacterial SSU rRNA
Rfam family: Bacterial small subunit ribosomal RNA
Source: RNAcentral
ACCCAUGAGAGCGGCGCACGGGUAAGUAACGCGUACACGACCUACCUCUAACAGGGGGAUAGCCCUGGGAAACUGGGAUUAAUACCGCAUAUUAUUCUGAAUAAUAAAGGUUUGGAAUGAAAGCUGAGGCGGUUAGAGAUGGGUGUGCGUCUGAUUAGCUAGUUGGUAGGGUAACGGCCUACCAAGGCGAUGAUCAGUAGGGGGCGUGAGAGCGUGGUCCCCCACACGGGUACUGAGACACGGACCCGACUCCUACGGGAGGCAGCAGUAAGGAAUAUUGGUCAAUGGGCGAAAGCCUGAACCAGCCAUCCAGCGUGCAGGAAGAAGGCCCUAUGGGUUGUAAACUGCUUUUAUCAGGGAAGAAACCUCUGGAUUUACUCCGGAGCUGACGGUACCUGAAGAAUAAGCACCGGCUAACUCCGUGCCAGCAGCCGCGGUAAUACGGAGGGUGCGAGCGUUAUCCGGAAUUACUGGGUUUAAAGGGUGCGUAGGCGGCUUUGUAAGUCAGGAGUGAAAGUUUGCGGCUCAACCGUAAAAUUGCUUUUGAUACUGCAGAGCUAGAAUCAGGAUGAGGUUAGCGGAAUGUGGCAUGUAGCGGUGAAAUGCAUAGAUAUGCCAUAGAACACCAAUUGCGAAGGCAGCUGGCUAGACCUGCAUUGACGCUGAGGCACGAAAGCGUGGGGAGCGAACAGGAUUAGAUACCCUGGUAGUCCACGCCCUAAACGAUGCUUACUCGACGUAUGGCGCUUGUCGUCGUGCGUCC